This 774-nucleotide ribosomal RNA is filed under the name uncultured Neocallimastigales. Its description in RNAcentral is "partial large subunit ribosomal RNA". It matches the Rfam family "Eukaryotic large subunit ribosomal RNA", at positions 24 to 648 of the family's 3401-position model. The record is from RNAcentral. Lineage: Eukaryota; Fungi; Neocallimastigomycota; Neocallimastigomycetes; Neocallimastigales.
UACGACUACAUAUCAGGCAUAUCAAUAAGCGGAGGAAAAGAAACUAACAAGGAUUCCCUUAGUAACGGCGAGUGAAGCGGGAAGAGCUCAAAUUUGAAAUCUUCAAGGUUCUACCUUGACGAAUUGUAGUUUAAAGAAGUGUUUUCUGUUAGAUGAGUAGCAAAAGUUCCUUGGAAUGGGACAUCAUAGAGGGUGAGAAUCCCGUAUUUGGUUAUUCAUUCUAGCUUUGUGAUACACUUUCAAAGAGUCGGAUUGUUUGGGAAUGCAGUCCAAAAUGGGUGGUAAAUUUCAUCUAAAGCUAAAUAUUGGCGAGAGACCGAUAGCGAACAAGUACCGUGAUGGGAAAGAUGAAAAGAACUUUGAAAAGAGAGUUAAACAGUACGUGAAAUUGUCAAAAGGGAAGCGUUUGACACCAGUGUUGUUUUUCCGAAAAUCAAUUACGAAUGGCUUGAUUUUGUGUUGUAUUGACCUUAUCAGCUUUCUGCACUUUUUUCGAGUCUUUCUUAAUGCACUUUUCGGUUAACAAGUCAACAUCAAUUUCUUUUGUUGUAAAAGAGUAUUCGGAAGGUGGCUUUCUUUUCGGAGAAAGUGUUUAUAGCCCUAUACUUCUACAAUCGGAGAGAUUGAGGUCUGCAGCGUAGAUCCUUCGGGGUUAGAUACAUUUGUGCUAAGUUGUAGCUUUUCAUAGACAACUUGUUGACUAUGUUUAGUCAUGCGGCUUACUCGCUUAUGCUAUUUUACCUACGCUUAGGAUGUUGAGUAGCGACAUACGCC